CCCCCACGGUACGAAUAGCGAGAGAAUAGAAAUUUCGAGAUAGAAGUACCCAUAAUAUAUACCGUGAGUUUCGUGUUUCGAGUUCGGAGUAUGGCUGACAGAAUUUAAAUCAGUCUGGGCCGUAGUACGUUGAGCACGUCAAACGCCGAAGUUUAUAAAUCGCAUUUACGGCAUCCUUUGUGUUAACUAUUUGCUCGCCGAACUUUGACGUGUAUAACCAGCGCCUCGUGAGCAGCACGCUGAUAAUAAAAGGAACUCGAUCCAAAACUGGGCCCAACAAUCGUUCGCGAUAACGAGGAUAACUCACUUCAACCGAUGCGCGAAACAAAAGCUGCACGUGAUAUCGGCGUCCGCCAUCCGAAAAUUCGGUCUCCCUCGUAUAUUUUACCUCCGAAAGAGCUG
Athalia rosae (coleseed sawfly) is the source of this 402-nucleotide long non-coding RNA. RefSeq lists it as uncharacterized. The record is from RefSeq and is a predicted model, not a curated record. The transcript is spliced from 2 exons. NCBI's taxonomy places the organism in Eukaryota, Metazoa, Arthropoda, Insecta, Hymenoptera, Athaliidae.